Molecule: ribosomal RNA, 522 nt
Filed under: uncultured bacterium
Lineage: Bacteria
Description: bacterial SSU rRNA
Rfam family: Bacterial small subunit ribosomal RNA
Source: RNAcentral
AGAGUUUGAUCAUGGCUCAGGAUGAACGCUAGCGGCAGGCCUAAUACAUGCAAGUCGAACGGUAAAUAUUUUAGCAAUAGAAUAUGAGAGUGACGUACGGGUGCGUAACACGUAUGCAACCUACCCUUUACAGGCGGAUAGCUCGGGGAAACUCGAAUUAACCCGCCAUAAGAUCAUAGAGUGGCAUCACUUAGUGAUUAAAUUCCAAGAGGUAAAGGAUGGGCAUGCGUCUGAUUAGUUAGUUGGUGCGGGUAACGGCCCACCAAGACGAUGAUCAGUAGGGGAACUGAGAGGUUGAUCCCCCACACUGGCACUGAGAUACGGGCCAGACUCCUACGGGAGGCAGCAGUAGGGAAUAUUGGUCAAUGGAUGGAAGUCUGAACCAGCCAUGCCGCGUGCAGGAAGAAGGCCUUCUGGGUUGUAAACUGCUUUUGCCAGGGGCUAAAAAGCUCAUGCGUGAGAAAUUGAAAGUACCUGGUGAAUAAGCCACGGCUAACUACGUGCCAGCCGCCGCGGUAAUAC